This 303-nucleotide ribosomal RNA is filed under the name uncultured bacterium. RNAcentral's name for it is "partial 16S ribosomal RNA". It matches the Rfam family "Bacterial small subunit ribosomal RNA", at positions 507 to 807 of the family's 1533-position model. The record is from RNAcentral.
AGCAGUAGCCGCGGGAAAACGUAGGUGGCAAGCGUUAUCCGGAAUUAUUGGGCGUAAAGCGCGCGUAGGCGGUUUUUUAAGUCCGAUGUGAAAGCCCACGGCUCAACCGUGGAGGGUCAUUGGAAACUGGAAAACUUGAGUGCAGAAGAGGAAAGUGGAAUUCCAAGCGUAGCGGUGAAAUGCGCAGAGAUAUGGAGGAACACCAGUGGCGAAGGCGACUUUCUGGUCUGUAACUGACGCUGAUGUGCGAAAGCGUGGGGAUCAAACAGGAUUAGAUACCCCAGUAGUCCCUGUCUCUUAUAC